UACGUAGGGGGCUAGCGUUGUCCGGAAUCAUUGGGCGUAAAGAGCGUGUAGGCGGCUUGGUAAGUCCGCUGUGAAAGCCCAGGGCUCAACCCUGGAAGUGCACUCGAUACUGCGGGGCUAGAGUCCCGGAGAGGAUGGUGGAACUCUCGGUGUAGAGGUGAAAUUCGUAGAUAUCGAGAAGAACACCGGUGGCGAAGGCGGCCAUCUGGACGGUGACUGACGCUGAGACGCGAAAGCGUGGGGAGCAAACAGG
RNAcentral lists this ribosomal RNA (253 nucleotides) under uncultured bacterium. RNAcentral describes it as "partial 16S ribosomal RNA". It matches the Rfam family "Bacterial small subunit ribosomal RNA", at positions 524 to 776 of the family's 1533-position model. The record is from RNAcentral.